RNAcentral lists this transfer RNA (79 nucleotides) under Labrys wisconsinensis. RNAcentral describes it as "tRNA-Tyr". It matches the Rfam family "tRNA". From Rfam's summary of the family: Transfer RNA (tRNA) molecules are approximately 80 nucleotides in length. Their secondary structure includes four short double-helical elements and three loops (D, anti-codon, and T loops). The record is from RNAcentral. Lineage: Bacteria; Pseudomonadati; Pseudomonadota; Alphaproteobacteria; Hyphomicrobiales; Xanthobacteraceae.
UCGCGUCCGUAGCUCAGCCUGGUAGAGCGCCCGCCCGUAAGGCGGGAGGUCGCCGGUUCGAAUCCGGUCGGGCGAACCA